UUUCAAAAGUUUUUCAGAAAAAAAAUUCAAGAAAAAUUAUGAAUCUCAACAUGAUGUCUAGUUUUGCCAGCUCAAUUCAAGACAAAUAUCUACCAGACUGCCGGAAAAGCUUACUUGCAGUACAGGAAAGAUUCCGAACAGAUAAAUGUAAACAAAGCUUGGAAAAUAUUACUUUUCAAAACAAAGUGGCACUAAGAAGAAGUUUAAAG
Molecule: long non-coding RNA, 209 nt
Organism: Eurytemora carolleeae
Lineage: Eukaryota; Metazoa; Arthropoda; Copepoda; Calanoida; Temoridae
Exons: 2
Source: RefSeq, a predicted model, not a curated record